Molecule: ribosomal RNA, 269 nt
Filed under: uncultured bacterium
Lineage: Bacteria
Description: partial small subunit ribosomal RNA
Rfam family: Bacterial small subunit ribosomal RNA
Source: RNAcentral
AGGACGAACGCUGGCGGCAUGCCUAAUACAUGCAAGUCGAGCGGAAUGAAGAGAGCUUGCUCUCUGAUUUUAGCGGCGGACGGGUGAGUAACACGUGGGCAACCUGCCCUACAGAUGGGGAUAACUCCGGGAAACCGGGGCUAAUACCGAAUAAUCAGUUUGUCCGCAUGGACAAACUCUGAAAGACGGUUUCGGCUGUCACUGUAGGAUGGGCCCGCGGCGCAUUAGCUAGUUGGUGGGGUAAUGGCCUACCAAGGCGACGAUGCGUA